Molecule: non-coding RNA, 231 nt
Organism: Microcebus murinus (gray mouse lemur)
Lineage: Eukaryota; Metazoa; Chordata; Mammalia; Primates; Cheirogaleidae
Source: RefSeq, a predicted model, not a curated record
UGCAAAGAAAGGCCAGGUAAAAGCACAACAGGAUUUGUUCAACAAACAUUUAUUGAGCAUCUGUGCUUCACUUGAGACACAUUGAUGGACAAGUAAAGUUUUUCUGUCCUAGAGGGGAUGACAAUUCAAUAAGACCAAGAAGGCUAUGAGUAAAUAAUGGCUUUGGCUUUCAAAUAAUGCAUUCUCCAAAUAAAGACCAAAAGGAAAGACUGACCAAAAAGUUGAAUUCUG